GAUGAACGCUGACAGAAUGCUUAACACAUGCAAGUCUUUGGCGAAGCUGUGCUCGCACAGCCUAGCCAAGGCGGACGGGUGAGUAACGCGUAAGGAACUUGCCCUGCAGUCAGGGAUAACAGACGGAAACGACUGAUAAGACCUGGUAAAGUCAGGCGGACUCAUGUCCAGCCUGAUGAAAAGAGAUGCUGCAGGAGAGCCUUGCGUCCUAUUAGCUUGUUGGUGGGGUAACGGCCCACCAAGGCGAUGAUAGGUAGCCGGCCUGAGAGGGUGGACGGCCACAAGGGGACUGAGAUACGGCCCUUACUCCUACGGGAGGCAGCAGUGGGGAAUAGUGGACAAUGGGGGCAACCCUGAUCCAGCAAUUCUGUGUGCACGAUGAAGGUUUUCGGAUUGUAAAGUGCUUUCAGCAGGGAAGAAAAAAAUGACGGUACCUGCAGAAGAAGCGACGGCUAAAUACGUG
Molecule: ribosomal RNA, 463 nt
Filed under: uncultured bacterium
Lineage: Bacteria
Description: partial 16S ribosomal RNA
Rfam family: Bacterial small subunit ribosomal RNA
Source: RNAcentral